AGAGUUUGAUCAUGGCUCAGAUUGAACGCUGGCGGCAGGCCUAACACAUGCAAGUCGAACGGUAACAGGAAGCAGCUUGCUGCUUCGCUGACGAGUGGCGGACGGGUGAGUAAUGUCUGGGAAACUGCCUGAUGGAGGGGGAUAACUACUGGAAACGGUGGCUAAUACCGCAUAACGUCGCAAGACCAAAGAGGGGGACCUUCGGGCCUCUUGCCAUCAGAUGUGCCCAGAUGGGAUUAGCUUGUUGGUGAGGUAACGGCUCACCAAGGCGACGAUCCCUAGCUGGUCUGAGAGGAUGACCAGCCACACUGGAACUGAGACACGGUCCAGACUCCUACGGGAGGCAGCAGUGGGGAAUAUUGCACAAUGGGCGCAAGCCUGAUGCAGCCAUGCCGCGUGUAUGAAGAAGGCCUUCGGGUUGUAAAGUACUUUCAGCGGGGAGGAAGGUGUUGUGGUUAAUAACCACAGCAAUUGACGUUACCCGCAGAAGAAGCACCGGCUAACUCCGUGCCAGCAGCCGCGGUAAUACGGAGGGUGCAAGCGUUAAUCGGAAUUACUGGGCGUAAAGCGCACGCAGGCGGUCUGUCAAGUCGGAUGUGAAAUCCCCGGGCUCAACCUGGGAACUGCAUUCGAAACUGGCAGGCUUGAGUCUUGUAGAGGGGGGUAGAAUUCCAGGUGUAGCGGUGAAAUGCGUAGAGAUCUGGAGGAAUACCGGUGGCGAAGGCGGCCCCCUGGACAAAGACUGACGCUCAGGUGCGAAAGCGUGGGGAGCAAACAGGAUUAGAUACCCUGGUAGUCCACGCCGUAAACGAUGUCUACUUGGAGGUUGUGCCCUUGAGGCGUGGCUUCCGGAGCUAACGCGUUAAGUAGACCGCCUGGGGAGUACGGCCGCAAGGUUAAAACUCAAAUGAAUUGACGGGGGCCCGCACAAGCGGUGGAGCAUGUGGUUUAAUUCGAUGCAACGCGAAGAACCUUACCUGGUCUUGACAUCCACGGAAGUUUUCAGAGAUGAGAAUGUGCCUUCGGGAACCGUGAGACAGGUGCUGCAUGGCUGUCGUCAGCUCGUGUUGUGAAAUGUUGGGUUAAGUCCCGCAACGAGCGCAACCCUUAUCCUUUGUUGCCAGCGAUUAGGUCGGGAACUCAAAGGAGACUGCCAGUGAUAAACUGGAGGAAGGUGGGGAUGACGUCAAGUCAUCAUGGCCCUUACGACCAGGGCUACACACGUGCUACAAUGGCGCAUACAAAGAGAAGCGACCUCGCGAGAGCAAGCGGACCUCAUAAAGUGCGUCGUAGUCCGGAUUGGAGUCUGCAACUCGACUCCAUGAAGUCGGAAUCGCUAGUAAUCGUGGAUCAGAAUGCCACGGUGAAUACGUUCCCGGGCCUUGUACACACCGCCCGUCACACCAUGGGAGUGGGUUGCAAAAGAAGUAGGUAGCUUAACCUUCGGGAGGGCGCUUACCACUUUGUGAUUCAUGACUGGGGUGAAGUCGUAACAAGGUAACCGUAGGGGAACCUGCGGUUG
Molecule: ribosomal RNA, 1522 nt
Filed under: Salmonella enterica subsp. enterica serovar Derby
Lineage: Bacteria; Pseudomonadati; Pseudomonadota; Gammaproteobacteria; Enterobacterales; Enterobacteriaceae
Also listed under: 1 other name
Description: bacterial SSU rRNA
Rfam family: Bacterial small subunit ribosomal RNA
Source: RNAcentral